CCUACGGGUGGCAGCAGUGAGGAAUAUUGGUCAAUGGACGAGAGUCUGAACCAGCCAAGUAGCGUGAAGGAUGACUGCCCUAUGGGUUGUAAACUUCUUUUAUAUGGGAAUAAAAUGUUCCACGUGUGGGAUUUUGUAUGUACCAUAUGAAUAAGGAUCGGCUAACUCCGUGCCAGCAGCCGCGGUAAUACGGAGGAUCCGAGCGUUAUCCGGAUUUAUUGGGUUUAAAGGGAGCGUAGGUGGAUUGUUAAGUCAGUUGUGAAAGUUUGCGGCUCAACCGUAAAAUUGCAGUUGAAACUGGCAGUCUUGAGUACAGUAGAGGUGAGCGGAAUUCGUGGUGUAGCGGUGAAAUGCUUAGAUAUCACGAAGAACUCCGAUUGCGAAGGCAGUUCACUGGACUGCAACUGACACUGGGGCUCGAAAGUGUGGGUAUCAAACAGGAUUAGAUACCCGGGUAGUC
This 460-nucleotide ribosomal RNA is filed under the name uncultured bacterium. Its description in RNAcentral is "partial 16S ribosomal RNA". It matches the Rfam family "Bacterial small subunit ribosomal RNA", at positions 338 to 795 of the family's 1533-position model. The record is from RNAcentral.